Ictalurus punctatus (channel catfish) is the source of this 1325-nucleotide long non-coding RNA. The record is from Ensembl. Lineage: Eukaryota; Metazoa; Chordata; Actinopteri; Siluriformes; Ictaluridae.
GUAGAAUUGAAUUCUGUUUCAUACUAAACAAAUCAUAUAAUGAAUUGAAUUGUGUGAAUUGUUAUGGAUUUGCAAGAGUAAUACCAUACCAUAUUGGUAUUUUUUAAAUUUUCUUUACAGAAUCUGUAGAACAUUUCAAGUGCAAUUCAUUUAUACAGUUGGGUAUAUAAGUAUUUGGACAGUGACACAAUUUUCAUAAUUUUUCCCCCCUCUGUACAACGGCACAGUGAAUUGAAAUGACGCAAUCAACAUGCUACUAAGAGUAUUUUUAAUGCUUGGAUGCAAAUCCUUUGCAGUCAGUGAUUGCCUGAAGUCUGGAACCCAUGGACAUCACCAAAUGCUGAGUUUCCUCCCUGGAGAUGCUUUGCCAGGCUUUUACUAGAGCUGCCUUGGGUUGCUGUUUGUUUGUGGGUCUUUCUGCCUUCAGGUUUGUCUUACCUAAUGAUGGCCUCCUUCAAUUGCAUCAUCACCUCUUUGGACCACAUAUUGAGAGUUCCUAUGAACAGCUACCAAAGGCAAAUUCAACAUGUGGAAUCAACUCCAGACCUUUCAUCUCCUUAAUCAGUCAUGAAAUAAUGAGGAAACAGGCCACACCUGGCCAUGAAACUGCUUAUCAGUCAAUUGUCCAAUUACUUUUGGGCCUGUGAAAAUGGAUGGAGUCUGUGAAAAAUGGCUGUAAUUCCUAAACGGUUAAUGCAAUAGUUUUGUUAAACCCAUUGAAUUAACGCUGAAAGUCUACACUUCAGUCACAUCUUGAUUGCUUCAUUGGAAAUCCAUUGUGGUGGUGUACAGAGGCAAAAUUACGAACAUUGUGUCACUGGACCUGAUUGAAUGAUUUUCACAUAUAACACUCAUUUUCAAUGUAUUAUUUCUUUUCUUUUCUUUUUUUUUCAAUUUAGCACAAAAAUAAAACUUUUGGAAGACAUCAAGGAUCAAACAAUGGUCAUUUUCAUGUAAAAUGCCCUGACACUCCUCAUGUCAUCCUUUUGAAUGUAAUCAAUCUAUGGACGCACAUAAUCUGAUUCUUCUAACAGAUUCUUCUCAAUUCCUACCUUGAUGAAACGUCUGUAUGUUUCAAUGAGUAUUUAUAAGCUACUGUUUUCUUAGCGUGAUAAACCUCUAUGUAUGUGUAGUUUUUACAUGCCCAAUUGUAACGUUUAAAAAGCAGGGCAAUAAUGAUCUACUCAUAGGAUCUACAAGAGUUCUCGUUCUACUUCAUUCUUUGUGAAUUUUUUUACACAUUUGAAUUUUCUAGCCAUUCUAGGGUUUUAUGGUGUAAUUUCUCGAAAAUUGCCUCACACAAUGAUAUGGAAAGUGAAAGGCAU